This 372-nucleotide ribosomal RNA is filed under the name Ramalina pollinaria. RNAcentral's name for it is "SSU rRNA". It matches the Rfam family "Bacterial small subunit ribosomal RNA", at positions 370 to 739 of the family's 1533-position model. The record is from RNAcentral. Lineage: Eukaryota; Fungi; Ascomycota; Lecanoromycetes; Lecanorales; Ramalinaceae.
AAUAGCCUAACGGCUGAACCAGCAACUUGGAGGAAUGUAUAGCUACGGCUAAUUGUGUAUAUCUACACGAUAUCGACUCUGUCGAAUAAAAUUCUGGGUAAAUUAUGAUGAUGACAUUUUUUACCUAUGUGUCUUGACCAAAUUGUGUGCCAGCAGUCGCGGUAAUACAUAGAAGACUAGUGUUAUUCAUCUUUAAUAGGUUUAAAGGGUACCUAGACGGUAGAUCAAGCCCUAGACGGGACUAAUUUGCUAGAGUUACUUAUGAGGGGGCUUUAAAGUACUAAUGGUGUAGAGAUAAAAUUUUGUAAUACCAUUUUUCGUAAAGAAAAAUUAUGGCACUGGUAAAGGUGAAAGCAUCCCCCUAUGUGAUAA